CCUUUUGUGGGGUUAAGGCUCCCGGGAGAUGACCGGGUUGAUAGGCCAGAUAUGGAAGACCCGUGAGGGUUGGAGUUGACUGGUACUAAUAAGCCGAGGGCUUGACCA
RNAcentral lists this ribosomal RNA (108 nucleotides) under Streptomyces sp. WMMB 714. RNAcentral's name for it is "23S rRNA. Bacterial LSU". It matches the Rfam family "Bacterial large subunit ribosomal RNA", at positions 2815 to 2925 of the family's 2925-position model. Lineage: Bacteria; Bacillati; Actinomycetota; Actinomycetes; Kitasatosporales; Streptomycetaceae. The record is from RNAcentral.